GAAGAACGCAGCGAAAUGCGAUACGUAGUGUGAAUUGCAGAAUUCCGCGAAUCAUCGAGUUUUUGAACGCAACUUGCGCCCGAGGUUCGUCCGAGGGCAUUUCCGUUAGAGCGUCACC
Molecule: ribosomal RNA, 118 nt
Filed under: Plagiomnium undulatum
Lineage: Eukaryota; Viridiplantae; Streptophyta; Bryopsida; Bryales; Mniaceae
Description: partial 5.8S ribosomal RNA
Rfam family: 5.8S ribosomal RNA
About the family: 5.8S ribosomal RNA (5.8S rRNA) is a component of the large subunit of the eukaryotic ribosome.
Source: RNAcentral